RNAcentral lists this ribosomal RNA (392 nucleotides) under uncultured bacterium. RNAcentral describes it as "bacterial SSU rRNA". It matches the Rfam family "Bacterial small subunit ribosomal RNA", at positions 40 to 418 of the family's 1533-position model. The record is from RNAcentral.
UGACAUGCCUAACACAUGCAAGUCGAACGGUACAGGAAGCAGCUUGCUGCUUCGCUGACGAGUGGCGGACGGGUGAGUAAUGUCUGGGAAACUGCCUGAUGGAGUGGGGAUAACUACUGGAAACGGUAGCUAAUACCUGCAUAACGUCGCAAGACCAAAGAGUGGGGACCUUCGUGUGCCUCUUGCCAUCGGAUGUGCCCAGAUGGGAUUAGCUAGUAUGUAGGGGUAACGGCUCACCUAGUGCGACGAUCCCUAGCUGGUCUGAGAGGAUAGACCAGCCACACUGGAACUGAUGACACGGUCCAGACUCCUACGGGAGGCAGCAGUGGGGAAUAUUGCACAAUAGGGCGCAAGCCUGAUGCAAGCCAUGCCGAGUGUAUGAAGAAGGGCGC